CAAUAGCGUAUAUUUAAGUUGCUGCAGUUAAAAAGCUCGUAGUUGGAUUUCGGGUGGGAAUGGCCGGUCCGCCGUUUCGGUGUGCACUUGCUACGCCCACCUUGCUGCCGGGGACGUGCUCUUGAGUUCACGCUCGGGACACGGAGUCGGCGAGGUUACUUUGAGUAAAUUAGAGUGUUCAAAGCAGGCCUACGCUCUGAAUACAUUAGCAUGGAAUAACACGAUAGGACUCUGGCCUAUCUUGUUGGUCUGUAGGACCGGAGUAAUGAUUAAGAGGGACAGUCGGGGGCAUUCGUAUUUCAUUGUCAGAGGUGUAAUUCUUGGAUUUAUGAAAGACGAACUACUGCGAAAGCAUUUGCCAAGGAUGUUUUCAUUAA
Molecule: ribosomal RNA, 377 nt
Filed under: uncultured eukaryote
Lineage: Eukaryota
Description: partial 18S ribosomal RNA
Rfam family: Eukaryotic small subunit ribosomal RNA
Source: RNAcentral